RNAcentral lists this non-coding RNA (45 nucleotides) under Schistosoma mattheei. Lineage: Eukaryota; Metazoa; Platyhelminthes; Trematoda; Strigeidida; Schistosomatidae. The record is from RNAcentral.
ACCUAGCUGACGAGUCUCAAAUAGGACGAGACGCGCAUCGUAGAU